RNAcentral lists this long non-coding RNA (455 nucleotides) under Homo sapiens (human). RNAcentral's name for it is "HSALNT0269324". Lineage: Eukaryota; Metazoa; Chordata; Mammalia; Primates; Hominidae. The record is from RNAcentral.
UCAGCUGGAAGAUGAAGGCCUAAUCAAGAUGGAGCCAAGGGCAGGGCCAAGCUGAUGUUAGCAUCCCAAGCACUUGGAGGUUUCUUCUCACCCAAGACACCAGAUACGGAUGCCCAGGUACCACCUCACCUGCUCACAUAGGACCUCCAGGUUUGCCUGCAAAACCAACCACCUUCAACCGUAACUAUGUCUAGGCGUCCUUGAAGGACUCUGAGAAAAUAUUUCUAUGUUCUUUUACAGCCUCCAACUUAAAAAAAGCCACUGUCCUUUGUGGAGGGUCUCCUCACUGCCAUGGUGGCUGGUGUCCUCCAAGAAAAGCCAAUUAUCUUUUUUUUUUUUUUUUGAGAUGGAGUCAUGCUGUGUCACCCAGCCGGAGUGCAGUGGCGUGAUCUCUGCUCACUGCAACCUCCACCUCCUGGGAUGAAUCAAUUCUCCUUUCUCAGCCUCCAGAGUAG